This 78-nucleotide transfer RNA is filed under the name bacterium. RNAcentral's name for it is "tRNA-Met". It matches the Rfam family "tRNA". Rfam says of the family: Transfer RNA (tRNA) molecules are approximately 80 nucleotides in length. Their secondary structure includes four short double-helical elements and three loops (D, anti-codon, and T loops). The record is from RNAcentral.
UGGCGGAGUAGAGAAGAGGUCUAUCUCACCAGCCUCAUAAGCUGGAGACCGUAGGUUCGAAUCCUACCUUCGCAACCA